AGGAUUCUCCUAGUAACGGCGAGUGAACGGAGAUUAGCCCAUCACCGAAGUCUAUUCACGUUUGUGAACAGGACAAUGUGGUGUUCAGGUAUGCGCCUGGGAUCGUUGCCCUGCUCCAAGUCCAACUCCGAUUGCGGCUUUGGAUUGUGUCCAAAGCGGGUGAAAGACCCGUUCGGGCAGGUUUAUUUGUUUAUAUUAACGAUUCCCUGAUGCGUAUUCCUUCGAGUCGGAUUGCUUGAGAAUGCAGUCCAAAGUGGGUGGUAAACUCCAUCCAAGGCUAAAUACUGGCACGAGUCCGAUAGUAGACAAGUACCGUGAGGGAAAGUUGAAAAGUACUCUGAAGAGAGAGUAAAUAGUACGUGAAACCGCUUGCAGAGAAUCAGUUGGAGUCAAGCUUCAUGCUUGAAGGAUUAGUAUCCGAUUCAUAUUGUGUCAGGAUAUGGGGCCCGGCAACUUGGAAUAAGUUGGACGUAUUUUAUGCGUUUCAAGUCUUUCCGGGAAGCUGGAUUGUCCGUGCCCCUAUCUCCUCUAUCGGAUGCCGAAUUCUUCUAUGCAUAAAUCACGGCCGAUAGUGGUCAAGUGCAUUAUGACUUCCUAACAGUGCUUAAGUCAGCUCACGUUGACUGGGUGCUGAAUGGAAGGUGUCGUUAUUAGUUGAUUUUUUCAUCUAAUUACGAUUAUUAUGGUUUCGACCGUCUGGUUGUCAUGAUAAUGCAUCACCGCUAUUGUUAUGUAAAUGUUUGGUAAUUAGCCUAUAGGUUAGUUGCCUAUCAAGACCGUGAUUCUGAGGUAGA
This 794-nucleotide ribosomal RNA is filed under the name Haliotrema platycephali. RNAcentral's name for it is "eukaryotic LSU rRNA". It matches the Rfam family "Eukaryotic large subunit ribosomal RNA", at positions 71 to 629 of the family's 3401-position model. Lineage: Eukaryota; Metazoa; Platyhelminthes; Monogenea; Dactylogyridea; Ancyrocephalidae. The record is from RNAcentral.